CUGCUCAUUUACUUUUCAUUGAAGGUCCAAUAGGUUUUGGUUCUUUUCCUUCAAUGCCUUCAGCUUUUCUUCAAGUUGGUGUUUGAGCCUGAUAGCAAGUUCGGACUCUUUUUUCUCCUUCUAGAGAAUGAUUAGAUUGGCAUCCAUCACCUCUUUAUUCUUCAAUAGGUAGAUCAUGUUCUCAUACAUGACUUUGACGUCAACAACGACCUAUAGGGCAAAAGGUCAGAUC
RNAcentral lists this long non-coding RNA (232 nucleotides) under Elaeis guineensis (African oil palm). Its description in RNAcentral is "long non-coding RNA (EGUI_LNC064102)". The record is from RNAcentral. Lineage: Eukaryota; Viridiplantae; Streptophyta; Magnoliopsida; Arecales; Arecaceae.